UCCGGUUUAUCACCGGCAGUCUCCACAGAGUCCUCGCCAUUACGCGUUAGUAACUGUGAACAAGGGUUGCGCUCGUUGCGGGACUUAACCCAACAUCUCACGACACGAGCUGACGACAGCCAUGCAGCACCUGUGCAGUGGCUCCGAAGAGAAGCUCUAUCUCUAGAGCGGUCCACUGCAUGUCAAAUCUGGGUAAGGUUCUUCGCGUUGCAUCGAAUUAAACCACAUGCUCCACUGCUUGUGCGGGUCCCCGUCAAUUCUUUUGAGUUUCAGCCUUGCGACUGUACUCCCCAGGCGGUAUACUUAACGCGUUAGCUACAGCACAACCAGGGUUGAGUCCGGUUACACUAAGUAUACAUCGUUUACAGCAAGGACUAC
This 378-nucleotide unclassified non-coding RNA is filed under the name uncultured bacterium. RNAcentral describes it as "contains 16S-23S intergenic spacer region". The record is from RNAcentral.